CAAUAGCGUAUUCAAAUGUUGCUGCAGUUAAAAAGCUCGUAGUUGGAUAUCUGGCGCUUUUGCUGACGGCCCGCCGCAAGGUUGAGUGCUGGAGGCAGACGCCUAUCUUCCGGUUGUGUCGUACGGCCUUCAUUGGUCGGCGUUCAUUUCCGGAUCAUUUACCUUGAAGAAAUCAGAGUGUUCAAAGCAGGCUUACGCCGUGAAUGUUGCAGCAUGGAAUAAUGACAUAGGACUAUUGCUUGUUCUAUUUGUUGGUUCAGAACCGUAGUAAUGAUUGAUAGGGACAGUUGGGGGUGCUGCUAUUCCGCGGCCAGAGGUGAAAUUCUCAGAUUCCCGGAAGAGCAACUUAUGCGAAAGCAUUCACCAAGGAUGUCUNCUUUA
RNAcentral lists this ribosomal RNA (381 nucleotides) under uncultured eukaryote. Its description in RNAcentral is "partial 18S ribosomal RNA". It matches the Rfam family "Eukaryotic small subunit ribosomal RNA", at positions 592 to 975 of the family's 1831-position model. The record is from RNAcentral.